This is a non-coding RNA of Peromyscus maniculatus bairdii (prairie deer mouse), 1007 nucleotides long. The record is from RefSeq and is a predicted model, not a curated record. Lineage: Eukaryota; Metazoa; Chordata; Mammalia; Rodentia; Cricetidae.
UAAUGGACGGCAGCAAGCUGUCCUGGUUGUGAGCGACUACAUGGGUUUUGGUUCCAGAGCUGGCCUGAGUUCUGGUGACCAGGAUUUUCUGGAUUCUCAUGAUCUCCCGUCAUGACAAGAGAUGCUUUGCUAAGUGAUAGGGACAGAAUUAAAAGGGUGAACCCUUGCCAUGUGCAGUAAAAGGAAUGGACAUUCAUUUUCAUUCAUCACCGGAGUGGGAAGAGCUCAGACUCAAGAUGGGACAGACCGUUGCCAGGAAUACAGAAGCUAAGCAGCGGGGUAUCCCAGGGAAGGUACACCAUAGGAACUCACAAAUGCCCCACGUGGAAGAUCAGAGCCAAGGAGGAGGGAGGCUCUAGAUGCAAAGCAGGAACGAUGGCCCGGGUGUAAGGCUGCUCCUGGGAACACGUGUUACAUUUGACUGAGACAUUCACAAUCUCUUGCUAAUGUGCUCUGACUUCAGUCCCAUGGACAAGCUGAGUGGCCCCAUGCUGGGUACAGAGGGGACCUUGGUGUGUAUGUCUGUGUCUACACAGACAUGGACAGACAACACCCCUGGCUUUGGCAUUAUCGUGGGUGUAACCCACAGGCUUUCUGCUGUCGUUUUCUGUAAACUUCUAGUUCCUCAGGAAAGCAAAAGCACAACCCCAAAGCUGUUUUCUUGAGCACUAAAUUCUCAGCAGGUAUCCUUGAGCUGGAUUUGGUAGAAAAAUUUCACCCUCCUGACAUAUAGAGUGGAGGCCUUGUUUCCGGCCACAUUUUACCCAGACUUCCUCAGACAUCCACCACCCCUGGCUGGUACCUUGCAAACCUUCUAGACUCUUCUCUGAGCAUGAGGCUCAUUCUCUGCAGAACACUGGCAGGCAGCAGUAACAUUAUGUAUCUGCUCGGCGUUCAGGCAAGAAAGCAUUAUGUUCACGGAUCAUUAUUGACAUCCUGACAUCUGUCACCUCCUUUCAUAGCAGUUAAAUCUUGCUUUAUCUGUAAAUGUCACCAUGUCAUUUAUU